Callithrix jacchus (white-tufted-ear marmoset) is the source of this 1952-nucleotide long non-coding RNA. RefSeq lists it as uncharacterized. NCBI's taxonomy places the organism in Eukaryota, Metazoa, Chordata, Mammalia, Primates, Cebidae. The record is from RefSeq and is a predicted model, not a curated record.
AGAGGGGAUGGCAGCUCCGAGGCUUCAGGAGGAGGGUGGGGAUCAGGCCUGGGGAGUGCCGCUGUCCAGGCGGGCAGGCUUGCCUAGCAGCCCCUCCAGGAUUCUAGGGAGCCACGGAGUGUCCACGGAACGCUUCACCUGGGGCCCGUGGAAGGAGUCUAUGGACGCAUGAAGCUGCUCUUAUGAUCGCGUGCGCUUGACUCAUGAUCCUGAAGACAAUGAAGAAGAAAUGACACUCAUUCCUGAGCAUGGAAUGAACACUCUGCUGUCUCGACUGGGGAACUCAGAGAGGGCCCACAUAAGCAAUGCGGAAGCAUCGGGAAACAUAGAAUCACUGAGGCCAUCUGUUUUCUCUUGAAAACUAGUGGUGGGCUGGAUUCUCUGAAGAGUUUCUCAAGGCGUGUUGGACCAGAACAGCCUUCUCAGAGAAAAGGCGAGGUUCCUGCCUGGGCCUCUGAGGUGUUGGGGGCAGGGCCAGCCUACCCCCAGGCUGUGAGGCCUGGCUGCUGGGAAGAGGCCAAACCCCAAAGGUUACUGCCACCCUGGGGUGUCAGUCCUCACAUGGCUCAGCUGUGUUCCUGCUGGCCCAGCAUCUACACCCCUGUCUACAGGUGUGUUUGUGCCGCAGGAGAACUGUCUUUCUCUACACACAGGCCAGGUGGUUCCUGGGAUUGACUUCUCUCUGCCAGGUUUGGACAAGCAGAGCAUCCUGUGUUCCCAGCUACAGUUACUGGCUGAUAUGGUUUGGCUGUGUCCCCACCCAAAUCUCAUCUUGAAUUCCCACAUGUUGUGUGAGGGACCUGGUGGGAGGUAAUUGAAUCAUGGGGGCAGGUCUUUCCCGUGCUGUUCUUGUGAUAGUCUCAUGAGAUUUGAUGGUUUUAUAAAGAGGCGUUCCCCUGCACAAGCUCUCUCUUGCCUGCUGCCAUCCAGGUAAGAUGUGAUUGCUCCUCCCUUGCCUUUCACCAUGAUUGUGAGGCUUCCCCAGCCACGUGGAACUGUAAGUCCACUAAUCUCGUUUUCCUGUUUAAAUUACCUAGUUUCGGGUCUUUAUCAGCAGCAUGAAAUCAGACUAAUGCACUGGGCUAGGCAUGGUCAUGUGAACCGGGCCAGUCAAUGAAACACAGGCUUGUGUUUUUGCAGGAAUAAUUUAGACAGGAAGGCUCUUUUCCCAUUAGGGUGCUAGGCUGGGCUAAUAUGUCAAACCAGCUGGUGGUCUCUCUCCUUAAUCACAUGGAGAAAUCCCUUGCAAGUAGAAAAGAAAGCAAAGCUACUUGACAAUGGAUGGUAGAGCUGAAGAUGGGGUGAGAGACAGCCCUGAUGGUUUGAAUCCCUGGAUCCAGCUGGUCCUGAAGCCUGCCUACCACCUCUGGUCUUUUAGGUAUGUGAACCCAUCAGUUCCUUGUUUUCCCUAAACAAACGGUGGUUAGGUUCAGAAUCCUGGCUUAAACACCCAUCUCUGAGUUCUUUCAUAGGAUGCACUUGGUGUCCUGGGGCCUUUACUCUCUAAGUUGGAUGAGGAGUACACAGCCUUUCUCCCAUACUGGGGUGGAAGCCCCGGUGCCUGCUACAUCUGGGCUUUGACGCCUGGGUCAGGAUCUUGAACCUUCUUUGCAGGCAUCUCCUUUCAUGGGAAGCCCGGUAACUUGGCUGUUAGACCUGAGGUCAAAUCCUGUCCCUGCCACUGGACAGAUGACUCUGUCUGCACCCCACUGCCCUCAUCUUUACAACAGGGGCAAUAGCCCCACCUCCCAGGAUGUUGGGAGAGUGAAUGAGAAAUACUGUGAAGCACUUGGCAAGGUGCUGGCAGAUGCGGGAGCUGUUCGAAUUAUUAUUAUCUGUGGCUCACACACCCAGAGAAAAAGGGAAGCUGUGGGCUGGUCUCACAGGCCAGCUCCUGCAGCCUCAGAAUUUUUUAAAUGAAUAAAUAAAAGAAUAAAGUAAAAUAAAAUAAA